Molecule: long non-coding RNA, 1574 nt
Organism: Sceloporus undulatus (fence lizard)
Lineage: Eukaryota; Metazoa; Chordata; Lepidosauria; Squamata; Phrynosomatidae
Exons: 4
Source: RefSeq, a predicted model, not a curated record
AAAAAGGGAACCUUAGAAUUAUAUUUUGUUUUAGAAGAGGUACUUGAAGAUCUUACAUAUACGCUUAUGGAUUCCAGCUGUAACAGAAGAACAUAUGAUGUGAUGUUAUCAGAAAGCAUGCGAUAUCUUAAAUCUGAAAAUCUGGUGGAUUCCAGUAACAAUUCAAGACUGAAAAGCACAACUCACCGUCAGCUUUGACUGAAGCAAACUGAAAGAAGAAGAGGGCAGAUCUCACACACUGGACAAAGGUGACAGCCGACUUCUUGGAAGCUGCAGCCAUGGCAAUGAGCUUGAGGUUGCCUAGAAAGAGUUUCCUCUGAGCUUGAAGGAGCAGGAGGUGGGCAGGAGAGGGCUACGCUAGAUCAAACCAAUGGCCUAUCUAGUCCAGCGUCCUGUUUACAUAUUAGCCAACCAAAUGCCUUGGAGAAGCCUGCCUUUAGGACAUGAGUGCCACUACAUCAUCCAUCUUAUUUCUGACAAACAUCUUAAAUAUCUGGAAGCACCCCCAGACAUAUUAAAAGGGAACUCUUGGAAGAAAUGGGAUAUCUCCUGAUUAACACAUAUUUCACUAAUUUCACUGAGUCAUCUCUAAAGAAGGCAUAUCCAGGGGUAGCUGUGUUGGCCAUACAGAAAAAUGCAAUAACACCCAAAUCCACAAAACAGUGAUACCUUUAUUUGGGCUCACAAAAAAUGCCCAAAAUACAUGAUGCAAGUUUUCAAAGCUCCAUUGGUUUCUUCAUCAGACAAAGGAGUUAAAUAUUAUACAGGAAAAGAAGAAGAAAAAUGAUGACAUUAGAGUCACAAGCCCACAUUUUGUCGACAUUUAUUUUAUAUAUUUAUUUCCAGGAUUUAUGUCUCGCCUUUCUCCACAAUGGGAUGCUGCUUUUGUUGUUAGUAAGGUGGUCUGGAAGAUAUCAAUGCAGACAGAGGCCACUCCUCUCUUUGACCAUGUGGGCUCUAUGCGACAAAGAGUUAAAAUCCAGGCAAUAAAAUGUAACUUCCACUAGCUACAGAAAAAGUAACUUCCCUUAAGAUCCAGUCUGUUUCUAUCCUGGAUGACGCUACCUGCCCCUAUCUUAGGCAGAACACAUUGAAUUUCUCAAGAAGCCUCUGUACUGUUGCAUCUGGAAAAACCUUUAGGUGCUGUAUAGGUAAACCCUUCAAAUGCAGUCCCAGUUUUAAAACAAAAGUUUUACCUUUGUUGGAGGUAGAAACCUUAAGGAAUUAAGUCCCAGUUCCCUGGUUUCCUCUUCUUUAGGAGUUUCCUCUUUGAACUAAAAUGUGAUAUCCUAAAAUCCAUUUCUUAAUCUUUCUCUGAAUCCAGUCUUCUGAUUUGUAACUGCAGUUCUGCUGCUUUGCUUUUGGUACUUUUUUUGGUACAUGGUGGGUUGUUUUUGAUUUUUGUAAAGUCUCUUGGAAUCUUGGCUACAAGCCGGCAUAAACUUGCUUUAAACAAACUAAGUUAAGCAAGUAGUGGUGGGAGAUUAAACCACUGCUCACUCGGAAACUGCACAUUUGCUUGCAAGUGAAAAAGAGAUGCUGGGAUGCAUGCAGCACUGUUAAUAAAACAUAUA